RNAcentral lists this small RNA (63 nucleotides) under Nostoc sp. PCC 7107. RNAcentral describes it as "Nitrogen stress-induced RNA 1". It matches the Rfam family "Nitrogen stress-induced RNA 1". The record is from Rfam by way of RNAcentral. Lineage: Bacteria; Bacillati; Cyanobacteriota; Cyanophyceae; Nostocales; Nostocaceae.
UGGUAGAUGCACCUUGAUCUUCAACUCCCCCUAGCUGGUUAACACCGACUGGGGGAUUUUUUU